AAGAAUGCUAGGCUUACACAUGCAAGUCGAGGGGCAUCAGGAAGAAAGCUUGCUUUCUUUGCUGGCGACCGGCGCACGGGUGAGUAACACGUAUCCAACCUGCCCUUUACUCGGGGAUAGCCUUUCGAAAGAAAGAUUAAUACCCGAUAGCAUAAUGAUUCCGCAUGGUUUCAUUAUUAAAGGAUUCCGGUAAAGGAUGGGGAUGCGUUCCAUUAGGUUGUUGGUGAGGUAACGGCUCACCAAGCCUUCGAUGGAUAGGGGUUCUGAGAGGAAGGUCCCCCACAUUGGAACUGAGACACGGUCCAAACUCCUACGGGAGGCAGCAGUGAGGAAUAUUGGUCAAUGGGCGAUGGCCUGAACCAGCCAAGUAGCGUGAAGGAUGACUGCCCUAUGGGUUGUAAACUUCUUUUAUAUUAGAAUAAAGUGCAGUAUGUAUACUGUUUUGUAUGUAUAAUAUGAAUAAGGAUCGGCUAACUCCGUGCCAGCAGCCGCGGUAAUACGGAGGAUCCGAGCGUUAUCCGGAUUUAUUGGGUUUAAAGGGAGCGUAGGUGGACUGGUAAGUCAGUUGUGAAAGUUUGCGGCUCAACCGUAAAAUUGCAGUUGAUACUGUCAGUCUUGAGUACAGUAGAGGUGGGCGGAAUUCGUGGUGUAGCGGUGAAAUGCUUAGAUAUCACGAAGAACUCCGAUUGCGAAGGCAGCUCACUGGACUGCAACUGACACUGAUGCUCGAAAGUGUGGGUAUCAAACAGGAUUAGAUACCCUGGUAGUCCACACAGUAAACGAUGAAUACUCGCUGUUUGCGAUAUACAGUAAGCGGCCAAGCGAAAGCAUUAAGUAUUCCACCUGGGGAGUACGCCGGCAACGGUGAAACUCAAAGGAAUUGACGGGGGCCCGCACAAGCGGAGGAACAUGUGGUUUAAUUCGAUGAUACGCGAGGAACCUUACCCGGGCUUAAAUUGCAGUGGAAUGAUGUGGAAACAUGUCAGUGAGCAAUCACCGCUGUGAAGGUGCUGCAUGGUUGUCGUCAGCUCGUGCCGUGAGGUGUCGGCUUAAGUGCCAUAACGAGCGCAACCCUUAUCUUUAGUUACUAACAGGUCAUGCUGAGGACUCUAGAGAGACUGCCGUCGUAAGAUGUGAGGAAGGUGGGGAUGACGUCAAAUCAGCACGGCCCUUACGUCCGGGGCUACACACGUGUUACAAUGGGGGGUACAGAAGGCAGCUACCUGGUGACAGGAUGCUAAUCCCAAAAGCCUCUCUCAGUUCGGAUCGAAGUCUGCAACCCGACUUCGUGAAGCUGGAUUCGCUAGUAAUCGCGCAUCAGCCACGGCGCGGUGAAUACGUUCCCGGGCCUUGUACACACCGCCCGUCAAGCCAUGGGAGCCGGGGGUACCUGAAGUACGUAACCGCAAGGAGCGUCCUAGGUAAGC
This 1427-nucleotide ribosomal RNA is filed under the name Bacteroides fragilis. Its description in RNAcentral is "bacterial SSU rRNA". It matches the Rfam family "Bacterial small subunit ribosomal RNA". Lineage: Bacteria; Pseudomonadati; Bacteroidota; Bacteroidia; Bacteroidales; Bacteroidaceae. The record is from RNAcentral.